GAUGAACGCUGGCGGCGUGCCUAAUACAUGCAAGUCGAGCGAACAGAUGAUGAGCUUGCUCCUCUGAUGUUAGCGGCGGACGGGUGAGUAACACGUGGAUAACCUACCUAUAAGACUGGGAUAACUUCGGGAAACCGGAGCUAAUACCGGAUAAUAUAUUGCACCGCAUUGUUCAAUAGUGAAAGUCGGUUUUGCUGUCACUUAUAGAUGGAUCCGCGCCGCAUUAUCUAGUUGGUAAGGUAACGGCUUACCAAGGCAACGAUGCGUAGCCGACCUGAGAGGGGGAUAGGCCACACUGGAACUGAGACACGGUCAAGACUACUACGGGAGGCAGCAGUAGGGAAUCUUCCGCAAUGGGCGAAAGCCUGACGGAGCAACGCCGCGUGAGUGAUGAAGGUCUUCGGAUCGUAAAACUCUGUUAUUAGGGAAGAACAAAUGUGUAAGUAACUAUGCACGUCUUGACGGUACCUAAUCAGAAAGCCACGGCUAACUACGUG
Molecule: ribosomal RNA, 497 nt
Filed under: uncultured bacterium
Lineage: Bacteria
Description: partial 16S ribosomal RNA
Rfam family: Bacterial small subunit ribosomal RNA
Source: RNAcentral